UCAGGAUAAUAAAUUUAAAUGCUGUAUUAAAUUAGGGAACAUUUUUCAUUUCAGAUGCUAUGACAUCAUGCCAUUUGACAAAAAUGUAAUUAAGUGGAAUUAAUCUAAGUUGAUAUCUGCAAGUGCAGCUUCCUGCCAAAUGUCAAUAGUCAUCUGUUCCACUUGCUGUGUCAUCAGCAUAAUGGGUCACCUCCGGUUAUACCUUCAUAACAGUGACAGCAGGGGUAAGUUCCAGUCCAGUUUUAUGACUUUUGGGGGGCCGGAAACUAUAUUAGUCACAGUCAUGAAUAGCCUCCUGUUGGCUUUGGACUCAGUCAGUUUGCCUUUUUGGUUAUACUAGAUCUGUGAUCACCUAUGUAAUUAACCAUAGUUUGUUGCUUUGGUGUUUAAAAGGUGUUGGUCCUAUACAGCUAUGGUUCUCAGCCAGGGGUAUGCAUACUUCUGGGGGUAUGCAGAGGUCUUCCGGGGUACAUCAACUCGUCUAGAUAUUUGCCUAGUUUUACAACAGGCUACAUAAAAAGCACUAGUGAAGUCAGUAUAAACUAAAAUUUCAUACAGACAAUGACUUCUUUAUACUGCUCUAUAUACUGAACACUGAAAUGUAAGUACAAUAUUUAUAUUUCAACUGAUUUAUUUCAUAAUUUUAUGGUAAAAGUGAGAAAGUAAGCAAUUUUUCAGUAAUAGUAUGCUUUGAUACUUUUGUAUUUUUAUGUCUGAUUUUGUAAGCAAGUAGUUUUUAAGUGAGGUGAAACUUGGGGGUACGCAGGACAAAUCAGACUCAUAAUUUGUGUGGACGGUUCCUUUAUUUAAUCUGUGAAGAUUCUACAACUGAACCUCAUCCCCUCAUGACCAAGAACUAGGGCUGUCAAGUGAUUAAAAAAUUAAUCACAAUUAAUUGCAC
Molecule: long non-coding RNA, 901 nt
Filed under: Chrysemys picta bellii (western painted turtle)
Lineage: Eukaryota; Metazoa; Chordata; Testudines; Emydidae
Description: lncRNA (ENSCPBG00000011979.1)
Source: RNAcentral